This 1154-nucleotide long non-coding RNA is filed under the name Malus domestica (apple). Its description in RNAcentral is "long non-coding RNA (MDOM_LNC010012)". The record is from RNAcentral. Lineage: Eukaryota; Viridiplantae; Streptophyta; Magnoliopsida; Rosales; Rosaceae.
CCACUUCCCACACGCAACAAUAGCUCAUGGGUACCACAGAUAACUUUGCCAAAGUUCUCUGCCAAAGUUGAGCACGUGAAGCUUGCAGCUCCCUCUACAUCGCUCUGACCAAGAAGGGUAAAAGAAUAGCAAAGAAACAGCACUAACAAAGUUUAGACCCAUAAAUUUUGAAGGUCUAGCUAUCAUAUUAUUACCCACAAGGGUAAAGGAACAGUACCACUGCUGGAUAAUUGGAAAGUCCCUGUGUGUCAACCUCUGUGCUUCGCGGCAAGGUAGACUAGCAAACAUGCCCAACCUUUACUCACAUUCGAGAAAACACUCCCAAUAAGAUUGCUUGCUCCAAAAUCGAAGAGGCACCGUCCUCCGAAUCUCGAGAGCCAGACUCCCAACAUGACUACUUUCUUAAAAAUCGAAGAGAGGGUAAAGGAACAGUACCAUUGCUGGAUAAUUGGAAAGUCCCUGUGUGUCAACCUCUGUGCUUCGUGGCAAGGUAGACUAGCAAACAUGCCCAACCUUUACUCACAUUCGAGAAAACACUCCCAACAAGAUUGCUUGCUCCAAAAUCGAAGAGGCACCGCCCUCCGAAUCUCGAGAGCCAGACUCCCAACAUGAUUACUUUCUCAAAAAUCGAAGAGACACUACUCCCCGAAUCUUCGAGAGCCAGACCCCCAGCAUGAUUGCUUUCUCAAAAAUCGAUGAGGCAUCGUUCUCCGAAUCAAUCGAAGAGGCGCUCGCUUUCUCAAAAGCUGGGCUGCUCAGAGACCAUGAGGGCCGAUCUCAGAAAUCGAAGAGGCACCUACUUUUCUAGCCUUGUCAGCACCUGUCACACGCACACUCAGCUUUGCGGAAAUUAUGGGCAUUCUGUCGAAGACUUCUAGUGAAGUAGAAAGCACAUGAAUCUUACUGUUCAAUCACCCACUUCCCACACGCAACAAUAGCUCAUGGGUACCACAGAUAACUUUGCCAAAGUUCUCUGCCAAAGUUGAGCACGUGAAGCUUGCAGCUCCCACUACAUCGCUCUGACCAAGAAAGGUAAAAGAAUAGCAAAGAAACAGCACUAACAAAGUUUAGACACAUAAAUUUUGAAGGUCUAGCUACCAUAUUAUUACCCACAAGGGUAAAGGAACAGUACCACUGCUGGAUAAUUGGAAAGU